RNAcentral lists this non-coding RNA (98 nucleotides) under unclassified sequences. RNAcentral describes it as "DUF3800-V RNA". It matches the Rfam family "DUF3800-V RNA". The record is from Rfam by way of RNAcentral.
GAAAUGAGCGGUAAGUCCGCUGUAGGUGGUUCUAGGUGUUCCCUUCCGUAGGUUGGCCAUAGCCUAGACAUAACGAGCCUGCAGGGCACGCUCAUUUU